GUAGGUGGCAAGCGUUGUCCGGGAAUUAUUGGGCGUAAAGCGCGCGCAGGCGGUUCUUUAAGUCUGAUGUGAAAGCCCACGGGCUCAACCGUGGAGGGUCAUUGGAAACUGGAGAACUUGAGUACAGAAGAGGAAAGCGGAAUUCCACGUGUAGCGGUGAAAUGCGUAGAGAUGUGGAGGAACACCAGUGGCGAAGGCGGCGUUUCUGGUCUGUAACUGACGCUGAGGCGCGAAAGCGUGGGGAGCAAACAGGAUUAGAUACCCUGGUAGUCCACGCCGUAAACGAUGAGUGCUAAGUGUUAGGGGGUUUCCGCCCCUUAGUGCUGCAGCUAACGCAUUAAGCACUCCGCCUGGGGAGUACGGCCGCAAAGGCUG
Molecule: ribosomal RNA, 375 nt
Filed under: uncultured organism
Description: partial 16S ribosomal RNA
Rfam family: Bacterial small subunit ribosomal RNA
Source: RNAcentral